Cyprinus carpio (common carp) is the source of this 198-nucleotide small nuclear RNA. RefSeq annotates it as U2 spliceosomal RNA. The record is from RefSeq and is a predicted model, not a curated record. NCBI's taxonomy places the organism in Eukaryota, Metazoa, Chordata, Actinopteri, Cypriniformes, Cyprinidae. The transcript has a single exon.
AACGCUUCUCGGCCUGCUGGCUAAGAUCAGAAGUGUAGUAUCUGUUCUUAUCAGUUUAAUAUCACAAUCGUCCCCUACCGGGGACUACAUAUUAAGUGAUUUUUGGAUCCGCGGGCUGGGCGGGGCUUGCUCCUGCUGUCCCACUCCUUGCCGCAUCGGCCUGGUAUUGCGAGUGUCUCCAGGAGCGGUGUGCUUCCC